This 440-nucleotide ribosomal RNA is filed under the name uncultured bacterium. Its description in RNAcentral is "partial 16S ribosomal RNA". It matches the Rfam family "Bacterial small subunit ribosomal RNA", at positions 338 to 795 of the family's 1533-position model. The record is from RNAcentral.
CCUACGGGAGACAGCAGUGGGGAAUAUUGCACAAUGGGGGAAACCCUGAUGCAGCGACGCCGCGUGAGUGAAGAAGUAUUUCGGUAUGUAAAGCUCUAUCAGCAGGGAAGAAAAUGACGGUACCUGAGUAAGAAGCCCCGGCUAACUACGUGCCAGCAGCCGCGGUAAUACGUAGGGGGCAAGCGUUAUCCGGAUUUACUGGGUGUAAAGGGAGCGUAGACGGCAGCACAAGUCUGGAGUGAAAUGCCGGGGCUUAACCCCGGAACUGCUUUGGAAACUGUGCAGCUAGAGUGCAGGAGAGGUAAGUGGAAUUCCUGGUGUAGCGGUGAAAUGCGUAGAUAUUAGGCGGAACCCCAGUGGCGAAGGCGGCUUACUGGACUUUAACUGACGUUGAGGCUCGAAAGCGUGGGGAGCAAACAGGAUUAGAUACCCGAGUAGUC